Molecule: long non-coding RNA, 442 nt
Organism: Oreochromis aureus
Lineage: Eukaryota; Metazoa; Chordata; Actinopteri; Cichliformes; Cichlidae
Exons: 4
Source: RefSeq, a predicted model, not a curated record
UGAGCGGCUUGCCAGAUGCUUUGCCGGUUGCAGCAGAAGAGCAGCAGCUCACUGAAGGAGAAGCCCGGUCACGUUGUCAUCUUCCCCAUCGAUGUCGUACCGCCACAUCUGGCAGAUGUGCAAGAAGUCAGAGGUCCUCUUCUGGACAGCAGAGGAGGCCAGAGUGAAGAAGAAAAGCAGCAGCUCGCUGACGGAGAACCCUGGCCACGUCGUCAUCUUCCCCUUGGAUGUCGUACCGCCACAUCUGCGAGAUGUACAAGAAGACUGAUGCAUACGUCGGGACAACGGAAGAGACUCUGACACGAGGGGCAUGGAGAAACCUGUUUUUUUUGUUGUUUUUUUGAGGUUGUUCAUCGUUAAAGUACCAGUCUAAGGAGCUUGGAAAGAUGAGCUUCUAGAACUUGUAUGUGAGGAGCAGGAGCUCCCUGAAGGAGAACCCCGC